Molecule: long non-coding RNA, 1045 nt
Organism: Uranotaenia lowii
Lineage: Eukaryota; Metazoa; Arthropoda; Insecta; Diptera; Culicidae
Exons: 3
Source: RefSeq, a predicted model, not a curated record
GAACUAUAGAAAAAACAAAACAAACAUUGGCAAGCAGAAAGUUAAAUUUGAUGACUUGAGUCUCCAACAGUAACGGUGACACUACUUCCCUGGAAAGACUGGAUACGAUGGUCAAUCGGAAGCCACCGUCAUUGGCGCAGGCUCCUCGAGUUCUCGAUCAGUGGAUAAGACAACCCUGGCAAACGAUUUGCCACCACUUUGCAGCGCCCGAGAGAACGAAACGGACUGGUUACUGGAACAAGUCGCAACUCUCCGAUUUCUGGGAAGUUCGAAUACGUCUAAGGUGACCUGCAUAAUAUCGGAGAUCUGCUAGCCGUUCCAGGAACAAAUGUGUUUCCGCUUAACUAGUCUUAGAGAAGCGGCACUCUAUAUGAAAUGGCUCCUUCUGAACGUUGACGGGGACUGCUCUGAUAACAGGAUGCUAUCAGCGCUGGAUUUAAUGUUCACACUUGAAUUCCAAGCAUCUUGUACGUGGACUGGAUCAAGCCGUAAAGGACCGAAAACUGCUAUGAUGCCGAAUCGGAGAAUUCUGUCAAUUUUCCAAAGAAUUGGGCAGACGGAAACUGAAACAGUUAACCAAGCUAAGCUGGCGGCGUUUUUCAAGAAGAAGCUUAAAAAUGCUUUCAAAAGGUUGUCGAACAGUGGACAACGUCGUGGUUCUCGUCACGUUAAAACUAAAAUACCAAAGCUCGUGCAAGAAAAACAAGGGAACGAUGAUUUGGAUUCGACGGAUGUUUCAUGCGAUGAAUAUGAAUAUUUAGAUGACCGAAUGGAUUUCUUUCAACAUGACAACACUGAUGAAUCUUCAUAAGUUUUUAAUAUUCACGUUUAUUAAUAUUUACAACAACUUACAUCCUAUGAUAACAUGAAAUAAUUUGUUUUGUUUUUGCUAGGUAGCAUGAAAUCAUUUGUUUUACUGCUAGAUAAGUGUAGUUCAAUUCAUUUGAAUUGUUUUAGUCUAAAAUCUAAGUACUUGUUAAAAAAAACCUUUAUAUUUGCAUUGUAUGCAAUAACGGUAUAAAUAUAUAAUGAGAACCACAGUUAA